Molecule: long non-coding RNA, 334 nt
Filed under: Rattus norvegicus (Norway rat)
Lineage: Eukaryota; Metazoa; Chordata; Mammalia; Rodentia; Muridae
Description: long non-coding RNA NONRATT009753
Source: RNAcentral
UUUGUUCAAGGUCAAUAUUGCACUCUAAAAACCCUCCCCUAUAAGAGUCAAGAUGACAAUCGCCUGUGACAAGACCCUCGGCUGCUUCAGCCACUGCUUCAUUUCCGUCCCAGAGUUUGAAGGAUGCGUGUCCCUUCAGUCCACGUCACUCUGAUACGAGCUGGUGCUAUCAUAACGCCUGCUCAGAAGGAUCAAGGUCCAAAACCCGACCAUGAAAAUUGGUGGAUACUCUGGAAUGGCGUCCUGGUGUCUGACAUUUACCAAGCACAGAAAAUGCAAGAUCAGUAUAGAUUGAAAACCAUGGAGACACCAAUGAGAGCUUGUUCUAGCCCCA